GAGGCCUUUGGGAGGGGAUUUCAUAAAGGAUGAAAUAAAGUCAUUAGGGUGGAGACCCCAUGAUUUAGUACUGGUGUUUCUAAGAAAAGGGAGAGAGACUGGAAGAGAUAUACAUGUACAGUCCCUGUUUCUCACCAUAUCUUGCCCUCACCAUCUCAGGACUCUGCUAGUAAGAUUGUGAAGUAAUAACAGUCACCACAUGCAGCCCCUUGACUGUGGACCAGAACUGUGAGCCCAAAUAAACCUCUUUUCUUUACAAGUUAUCCAGUCUAUGGUAUUGCGUUAUAAGCAACAGAAAAUGGACUAAGACAAUCUACAAUGAGACAAUAGCAUGGGGCUUGGCUAAAUUGGCAUGGAAUGUAAAACCAGAGGAGCCUCAGGGAUUGCCUAAGCUGCCUAAUAGUUAUAUGAGUUAAACAUUCUGAACCAGCAGCCUCCUUAUUUGUAAAAUGAAAUAAAUAAUACCUCUCUGAAUUGUGGAUGUUAGGCUUAAUAUAAUGCUCAUAAAAUGCUUAUGAUAGAUUCCUGUGUUUCUUAUAUACACAGAUGUUUAUCCUUGGAAGUGAGAAGAACAGUUGUGAAUGGAGUUGUUUGUGGAGCAUUGGUCCUGGUGAUAACACUUAGAUGUUAUAUUCUAAAUGCUUACAUGCUGUUUUCUUCCAUUAGUCUGUGAACUACUUAAGGUGCAGUCCUGAAUUUCUAGCGUGAAAGAUGUCAUAGGGAAGAGGCCCAUAAUUUGGAGGAGGUUCUAAUUCUUGGGAGGCAGCCCACAAAAGGAGGAAGGGCUGCCUUCCAGGUUAUAAAGUGGUUAUCGUCCAGCAGCCAUCAGUGUGUUGAGAGAACCAGCAAUGCGUGCGGGUCGACGUCUGUGGGAAUCUUCUUUGAAUGAAACUCAGUGCUUGAUCCAGGAUGUAAAUUAGAUGAUGCUGGCUUUUUUUUUCUUUCCCUAUCAAGAACUGAUCCUUGUUAUAUAUCACUUUUAAAAAAUCCAUUUUUGAAAAGGGGAUAAACUUUAAAUUAAAGGGCAAGCAGGAGGCCUGGAAAGCCAUGUAGUUUUAUGCAUUAAUUCCCUAAUGAAGGGAAAAUUGAUAGCCCCUGACAGUUCUGAGAACAAUAGGACUCUUUACAUUCCUUUUGCUUCUUUCCCCCUUGUCUUCAGAAUUUGCCUCCAAGAACUUAUAUAAAGCAAUCUCUGUGGUUCUUGGGUUUGGAUCUUUUCCUUAUAAUAUAUCAGUGGGCACAGGGAAAAGAGAUUGCUUAGAAUCUGGACUUUCUGUACAAGAUGUCUCAAAAUCCCUGAGCUAUGUCAUGAGUUAAGUUCAUCAUAAUGAAAAAACAAUAAUAACAAAAAUGAUUUAGGAUUGAAAGUCUUGGGUCCUAAGUAUUGGCCAUGUACUCACUGAAUGGUUUUGUACCAAGAAUUUAAUCCUUAUGAAUCUCAUUCUUAUCAUUGUUAAAACAGAAAUAAUAAUGAUAGCCAUCUGCCAGGUCAUUGUGAGGAUCAAAUGAGAUACUAUUACAUGGAACCAUAUGGUGCUGCCAAUAUUCAACUGUCUUUGAUCUUCAUAAACAAUUGCUUUAUCAGGACGAACUCAAACUAUCUUUUGCAAAGUGCAAAAAAAGUGGAACUUCCCUAACAACUACAGAAAAAAUAUAUGGGAAGGAGUGUGUAGAAUUUAGAUGAUCUUCACAAAUUGUACAAAGGAAAAGUAACCUGAUAUUAGUAGUUGUUAGGAAUAGAUUGAUCCAUAUAAUAUUUAUUUUAAGCAAAUAGAAAAAUAACACCUGCGUUUUUUGUUUGUUUGUUUGUUUUGGUAAUUGAAGUUCAAGUUGCAAUAAGGCUCAGGAAAUGACCUGGCUGACAAUGGUGUAUUUCACACAUCUUAUCUAGUUGAAAUAUAUUAAUAUAUAAAUAUGUUCUGCUUCUCAUCUCAAACAGAUGUUCUUCAGUCAGGGUUAAUAAUAUAGGCUUAUGUUCCUUAAUAAAGAUUGUGAAAGUCAAAAGUGGAAGACUUAGAAACAACACUGAUUUUUUUAUAGUAACAGAAAAGGAUCAAUACUUUAUAAAGAUGUAGAAAUGUGAUUUUGUCCAGCUGACUUAAAAACAGCAUUGUACAGGGACACAGCCACAUCAAUAUUUAUAGCAGCACAAUUCACAAUAGCUAAACUGUGGAACCAACCUAGAUGCCCUUCAAUAGAUGAAUGGAUAAAAAAA
Ictidomys tridecemlineatus (thirteen-lined ground squirrel) is the source of this 2215-nucleotide non-coding RNA. NCBI's taxonomy places the organism in Eukaryota, Metazoa, Chordata, Mammalia, Rodentia, Sciuridae. The record is from RefSeq and is a predicted model, not a curated record.